RNAcentral lists this transfer RNA (77 nucleotides) under Acidobacteriota bacterium. RNAcentral describes it as "Acidobacteria bacterium tRNA-Val". It matches the Rfam family "tRNA". From Rfam's summary of the family: Transfer RNA (tRNA) molecules are approximately 80 nucleotides in length. Their secondary structure includes four short double-helical elements and three loops (D, anti-codon, and T loops). The record is from RNAcentral. Lineage: Bacteria; Pseudomonadati; Acidobacteriota. RNAcentral also lists the same sequence under 1 other name.
GGGCGGUUAGCUCAGUUGGUUAGAGCACCGGCUUUACACGCCGGGUGUCACAGGUUCGAGUCCUGUACCGCCCACCA